CGAGGGGCAGCGCGGGUAGUAUACUUGGCGGCGACCGGCGGAAGGGUGCGUAACGCGUGAGCAACAUGCCCGUAUCAGGGGGAUAAGUCAGGGAAACUUGAUCUAAUACCCCAUAAUAAGCUUUUAGGCAUCUUAGAAAUUUUAAAGCUUUGGUGGAUACGGAUUGGCUCGCGUGACAUUAGCUAGAUGGUAGGGUAACGGCCUACCAUGGCUACGAUGUCUAGGGGUUCUGAGAGGAAGAUCCCCCACACUGGAACUGAGACACGGUCCAGACUCCUACGGGAGGCAGCAGUGAGGAAUAUUGGACAAUGGAUGGAAAUCUGAUCCAGCCAUGCCGCGUGCAGGAAGACGGCCCUAUGGGUUGUAAACUGCUUUUAUACGGGAGCAAUAAGGACUAUGCGUAGUUUGAUGAGAGUACCGUAUGAAUAAGCACCGGCUAACUCCGUGCCAGCAGCCGCGGUAAUACGGAGGGUGCAAGCGUUAUCCGGAUUUAUUGGGUUUAAAGGGUGCGUAGGCGGUUUCUUAAGUCAGCGGUGAAAGUUUUCAGCUUAACUGGAAAAAUGCCGUUGAUACUGAUAAGCUGGAAUAUGGUUGCUGUGGGUGGAAUGUGUGGUGUAGCCGGUGAAAUGCUUAGAGAUCACACAGAAUAUCGAUUGCGAAGGCAGCUCACAAAGCCAUUAUUGACGCUGAUGCACGAAAGUGUGGGGAUCAAACAGGAUUAGAUACCCUGGUAGUCCACACUGUAAACGAUGAUAACUCGCUGUCGGCGAUAUACAGUCGGUAGCCAAGCGAAAGCGAUAAGUUAUCCACCUGGGGAGUACGACCGCAAGGUUGAAACUCAAAGGAAUUGACGGGGGCCCGCACAAGCGGAGGAACAUGUGGUUUAAUUCGAUGAUACGCGAGGAACCUUACCCGGGCUCGAACGGUGCAGGAUUAAUUCAGAGAUGGAUUAGCUAGCAAUAGUCUGUAUCGAGGUGCUGCAUGGUUGUCGUCAGCUCGUGCCGUGAGGU
This 1010-nucleotide ribosomal RNA is filed under the name uncultured bacterium. Its description in RNAcentral is "bacterial SSU rRNA". It matches the Rfam family "Bacterial small subunit ribosomal RNA", at positions 63 to 1073 of the family's 1533-position model. The record is from RNAcentral.